UUUUUUUUGCUAAAAAUUACUUGUUUAUAACAGCUCUUUGAUGAUGCACCAUCCAUCCCGUAUUUGCCAACAAGUUUCAUAACUUCACCGUUGUCAUUUAUAUCUGCCACUCUCAUGAUUUUUUCAGCUGUUAAAUCCAAAAUUGGUUGUAGUUUUAUCUGUGCUCCUGAUUCAGUGAUAGUUAUUUCUUCUGGUGGCGGAUAGCAUUCCUUCUUCUUCACAAUUAACUUUUGAUAAGAAGCAAAAGUCACUAUAUCCUUGUCGAUUAAAAAGGUCCUUAACGCCAAAUACUGCCAUUUCGAUGAGUUUAACGCCGUCACAAGAGCCAGAGUCUCAUCCUCACGAACAGUUUUUUUUUUAUUGAAGGAUGUGAAUAAAAAACCGUUGACAUCUUUUACUUUUCUGGAGUCUCUGGAUAAGUAUUCUAUAUUCUUAGCGAAAUCGAUUUUGUUGUUUCCCUUCAGCUUUCCGACGAACGCAUACAGCAACUCUUCUUCAUCAUGUUCUAAUAAGGGGACCGUUCAUAUUUUCUUUUGUUUAAUGCCCAAAUCUGUAAAGGUUUUCCUUGUUCGUCGAGUAUUAGUACUCAUAUCUGAUGUAGAUGAUCCAGCUUCUUGAGUAAGCGAACUUAGUUGUUGUUCUUCAACGUCCAUUAUUUACGGAAUUAAUAUUGUAGCAAAGUCCAAAGUUUCACUUAUCGGCCAUGAAAUAUUGGCUUCUAGCCAUGUUUUAUUUUACUUUUUUUAAUCUGCAUUCGUUCCUGAUUGAAUUUGGCCAUCUUCUGUACAAGUUCGCGGUAUAGUUACGGCCAAGGCAUAUUAAACUGGUAGAAGCGGAAGAGUUGCAAAUUCGAUUUUUUCAUUUUCACGUAUAAGCUAAAUUGUCAAACUAUGUUUACAUCUGAUGAAAACAAACUGAAUUGUCACAAUUUGCUUUCACGUGGUUUGUGCCAGUUUGCGGUUAAUUUAUAAUUAUCUAAUCUUGCUAUUUAGUGCGAUUUAGUGCGAUAUACUAUAUACGAUACUGUGUUUUGUGGGAAGUGUUUUGAUUAAAUCAAAGAUGGGAAAGUGCGUUCUCUGCAACAAAAAGCGUGUAGAGGGUAGAGUUCCCUUUUUUAUGGUCCCGCAGGAGCCACGUCGGGUGGCUGAUUAGAACAGAGCAUGUGGCAUCACGUUCACAGCAAAGCAUGUAGUUUGCGGGGAGCAUUUCGCGAGCUCCGAUUUGAUUGGUGGCGCACAACGAACGCACUUGAUGCCCAACUCUGUUCAAACACUCUUUAUAAAACCACCUUUGUAAGUAUGCUUUAAGAUCAGAGCCUUAGAAUAUAUAUGCAUGUAGGUGGUAAAAUUGAAAUAUUUUAGUUGUGGAAGUGACGGUGGAAAAAAUAUGUGAACCAAUUGGUUACUUAAGUCAUCCCAUAAGUGAAACAAUUAUAUCAGAAGUGGUAGAAAGUGGUUCCGUAGGAACCAAUGCUCAAUGUGUGGCACAUUCUAGUUGCCACACGCAAACUUAGUAAGUUGUUUAAUGCCAUACAUAUAUAUGCAUAUACUUUUCUACGCAGUUUUCUUCUUCCACAAAACAAAUUAAACACCUUCUGUAAAUUUGCUUUUAGAUUUUAUUUGUUUUGUAGACAAAAACGUUAGAUGGUCGUGGAGCGAUAUUUCCAGCGCCAUAUGUAUUCACGCUGCCGGACCCCGAGCAUAUAGGCACCUGUAUACGAAAGGCUUCCCCCUGCCACAUAUAAGCACACUUCAAAGGUGGUACCGUAAAAUUAAAGUUGGUGAGGGAAUGUUAUCCGUUGCAUUGGACUUAAUGCGCCACAUUCACGAGCUCACUGCCGUCGAGUUUGUGUGCUGGCUUUCGACGAGAUGAAGGUCACCGAAGCUUUUGAGUAUGAGCCUACCGACGACUUCGUCAGGAAGCCGGCAAAUUAUGUUCAAGUGGUUAUGGCGCGCGGAUUAUUAAAAUCCUGGAAGCAGCCAGUAUUUUACGAUUUUGAUUGUAAAAUAACCGUCGAACUUUUGCAUACAAUUAUUUCGGCUGUGCAAAAUGCUGGCUUCCCUGUUCUUGCGAUGGUCUGCGAUAUGGGCCCAUCCAACCAAAAGCUUUGGAGAGACCUCGGCAUCACUCCAGGUAUAUAUUUAAUUCACUAAUACAUUUUCUAAAGCUAGUUAUCAAUUAAUUAGAACACCCAUGGUUCACCAACCCUACUGAUCCAGAGGCGAAGGUUUUCGCAUUUGCGGAUGCUCCGCAUCUGUUGAAACUCAUCUGAAAUCAUUUUAUUGAUAGUGGAUUUGUUUGGAAAGACCGCAUAAUAACCACGCGCGCAAUAGUUGAUGUUAUGAGGUACACAUCUGUAUCCGACCUAUCUAUAACAUUCAAGUUAACAGAAGAGCACUUAGCUGUAAAAGGGAUAGGCAGACAAAAGGUAAAAUUCGCGACACAGUUGCUUUCUAACACGACUGCAAAAGCCAUACUGCGCUGCUACGCUCUGGGGUUGGACAUAGAAGAAGCGAUUGAGACAGCUGAACUAACUCAGUUGGUGAACGAUUGGUACGACGUUCUCAAUUCCUCCGUUAAAACGUUCAAUUAUCCUGGAAAGGAACCAUUUGGACGGAAGAGGCAGCGGCAGCUCGAGAUUUUGGGACGCAUGAAUAAUUUCAUAUCAGAUGUUAUCAUCCCUCGCAAAAAUAGCUUACAACAAUUUCAAAGGGGUGUUUUGGUAACAAAUAACGCAGUGCUACAGUUGUACGAGUAUGUGGUAGUGAUUUGCUGGAGCACUUCUUCGGAAAUAUACGAAGCAAGGGAUGAUUAAACGACCACCCUACGCCGAAGGAGUUUAUGUACAGGCUCUGAAAAUACAUUUUAGGUAAGUUUGCCAAAAGUUAUCUUUUAAAUGUAUAUUUAAUUGUAUAUUAUCCACACCUGUAUACCUAAUCUCAAACCAGUUAGCGACAUUAUUCGGAUCGCUAUCGGAGGUAGCUGACGUGUGUUAUGAAUGUCGCAAGGUUAUGAUAGCGAUACGAUAUUUGGCGCUGACUCGUUUGAGGAUAGCCCCUCUGAAUUAUUUUCCAGCAAGGAAUGCCGAAAAUCUGAACAAAACAGGCAACGCCGCGCAGGAUUCUGUUGAAUGGCUGAACACAUCAAACCCGCAGGUGUUGUAUGGAAGCGGGAUGUUCGAAAAUAGCGCACUAGAUGAACAGGAAGUAGGAGAACCAGAGCCUUUGGCAGCAGAAUCAGAGGCCGUUGACGCGACCGAUGGCGAUGGCGAUGUGCUGGAAUACGAUCCAGAUGUGCUGGAAGGCGAAACCGAUAUGGUGGAAGGCGAUAGCGGUGUGCUGGAAGGCGACAGCGAUGCGCUGCUUGGGGGAACCGAUGUAAUACAUGGCGAUGCUGAUGUGCUGCAUGGCGAUGUGCUAGAAUAUAUGGCUGGAUAUAUAAUUCGCAAGCAACAUCUCAGCGAGCACGAAGACACCAGUAACGCAACUUUUACGUGGGUCGAUCAGGUGUCGAAAGGGUACCUUAAAAAGCCUUCACCCCUUUUUGUAGACCGUAUUAGGAGCUUGCAGUCGGUAUUCCUUGCAGUUAAUUUACAGGAAAUAGCGCACUGUAAAAAUAUAAAGCAGCGCCUUCUGAACAAAGCAGCUAACGUAGACCUUCCAGACAGCGUCAAACAGUUUUUCUUAAAUGCCGGAUACUGUUUAGAGUGCGCCACCUAAAUAAACAAUUGAAAGUGAAGAAGGCAAAGCAAAGGCUGAAAUCGUACCCAAUUGAAAUUGAGCAGGCGUACGUCUUAGUACAAGCUUCCAGGCAUUAAACACUGUCAGUACCUACCAUUAUACGUAUUUCCGUAUCACAAUUGGAGUUGUUGUCUGAGCAAAUUCAGUUGAAAGCUCCAUCAUUUGUGGUCACUACCAUCAAUCCAAACAAGCACAUCCACGCGCAUUUAUAUCCAAUGGUGUUUAUUACACCGCCGGAUACUGUUUAGAGUGCGCCACCUAAAUAAACAAUUGAAAGUGGAGAAGACAAAGCAACUGCUGGUACGCUACAAAAAGUUAAAUAAAUUCACUCUUUAAACUGAAAUCGUAUCCAAUUGAAAUUGAGCAGGAAUACGUCUUAGUACAAGCUUCCAGGCAUUAAACACA
This is a long non-coding RNA of Rhagoletis zephyria (snowberry fruit fly), 4145 nucleotides long. RefSeq lists it as uncharacterized. NCBI's taxonomy places the organism in Eukaryota, Metazoa, Arthropoda, Insecta, Diptera, Tephritidae. The record is from RefSeq and is a predicted model, not a curated record.